CUCUCUCUCUCUCUCUCUCUCUCUCUCUCUCUCUCUCUCUCUCUCUCUCUCUCUCUCUCUUUCUCUUUCUCUCUCUCUCUCUCUCUCUCUCUCUCUCUCUCUCUCUCUGUCUCUCUCUCUCUCUCUCUCUCUCUCUCUCUCUCUCUCUCUCUCUCUCUCUCUCUCUCUCUCCUUCUGUCCUUUCUUUUAGUUUUCUUUUAUUCAAGUUGACUAGGUCUUUCUUUUUUCUGUGGUGUGUGUGGAGUUAAUAAUACGCAUUUCAUUUCGCACUCAAGGAGUCACUGAAAAAACAACGAAACUUUCCGAUCCCUUAAGAGGGUUAUUUUAGCCUGGGAUAAAAAGAGUAUAAUUGAAUUCAAUAGCGUCACUUCCUCAAAGUGUCCCCGGUAAAGGACAUCAUCCAUCCACUAGCAGGGAUUGAAAAGUUUUGACAGUUUCUUUGGGGAGUCCUUGAGUGUUUUUCCUGGUACUACAGAUCUACUGUAACUCCAAGACUCGUGGAACAGUGUUCUUCCAUUUUCUUCUUGUCCUGGACAAGUUCUCCAGAGGAGAUCACAGAGAACUGUCACAUGGGGUUUUUGGCUAGAAAGGAUAUAAAGCUUUUGUCAGCUUUUGUCAGAUUUGACUUUUCGUAGCAGGUUAGGACAUCUUUACGUAGCAGGUUAGGACAUCUUUACGUAGCAGGUUAGGACAUCUUUACGUAGCAGGUUAGGACAUCUUUACGUAGCAGGUUAGGACAUCUUUACGUAGCAGGUUAGGACAUCUUUACGUAGCAGGUUAGGACAUCUUACGUAGCAGGUUAGGACAUCUUUACGUAGCAGGUUAGGACAUCUUUACGUAGCAGGUUAGGACAUCUUACGUAGCAGGUUAGGACAUCUUUACGUAGCAGGUUAGGACAUCUUUACGUAGCAGGUUAGGACAUCUUUACGUAGCAGGUUAGGACAUCUUUACGUAGCAGGUUAGGACAUCUUUACGUAGCAGGUUAGGACAUCUUUACGUAGCAGGUUAGGACAUCUUACGUAGCAGGUUAGGACAUCUUUACGUAGCAGGUUAGGACAUCUUUACGUAGCAGGUUAGGACAUCUUACGUAGCAGGUUAGGAAAGUGAACCUAGAAGGUUACGAGAAUUCGGUUAAGGUUCGGAAAAUGGUUACGGUUAGGGUUAGCUAAAGUGCAAAAAAAAACUACUUUGAAUGGCAAUUUGACAAAAUAUCCAUAUCCUUUCUAGCCAUGAGGCUCUUCCUGUGCUGAUGUGUCUCAUCAAACCUGAAAUGAAUUGCAACCGCAGUAGAGAGUCGACAAAGCCCCCGUUUCCUAAGACAUUUGCUUUUUUUCAGAUUCUUGUGCAUUUUUUCACUUUCCCCUAUAAUGUAAUUAAAGACAGCUAUCUGUGAUAGAAAAGAUCACACGGUGCUACUUUUAACUUUUAAGAUUUUGGAAAUGAAUCCCUUUUAUGUUCUGCCCCUGAGUCAGAUGAACUCGUAGAUACCAUUUGUAUGUUCUGCACCUGAGUCAGAUGAACUCGUAGAUACCAUUUUAAUGUUCUUCCACUGAGUCAGAUGAACUCGUAGAUACCAUUUUAAUGUUCUUCCCCUGAGUCAGAUGAAAUCGUAGAUACCAUUUUUAUGUCUCUGUGUGAGGGAAGUUAGAGGUAACAUGCUAGCAGAUAUUCCCGGGGGGCGCAGCUGUCUAAGGCAAUGCAUCUCAGUGCUAGAGGCGUCACUACAGACCCGGGUUUGGUCCCAGGGUAAAUAAGAUCUGGUGCAAUCAAUUACCUUCAGAAGUCACAUAAUUAGUUUUUAAAAAGUCCACCUGUGUGCAAUCUAAGUGUCACAUGAUCUGUCACAUGAUCUCAGUAUAUAUACACCUGUUCUGAAAGGCCCCAGAGUCUGCAACACCACUAAGCAAGGGGCACCACCAAGCAAGCGGCACCAUGAAGACCAAGGAGUUCUCCAAACAGGUCAGGGACAAAGUUGAGGAGAAGUACAGAUCAGGGUUGGGUUAUAAAAAAUAUCAGCAACUUUGACCAUCCCACGGAGCACCAUUAAAUCCAUUAUUAAAAAUUGGAAAGAAUAUGGCACCACAACAAACCUGCCAAGAGAGGGCCGCCCACCAAACCUCACAGACCAGGCAAGGAGGGCAUUCAUCAGAGAGGCAACAAGCGACCAAAGAUAACCCGAAGGAGCUGCAAAGCUCCACAGCGUAGACUGGAGUAUCUGUCCAUAGGACCACUUUAAGCCGUACACUCCACAGAGCUGGGCUUUAUGGAAGAGUGGCCAGAUAAAAAGCCAUUGCUUAAAGAAAAAAAAUAAGCAAACACGUUUGGUGUUCACCAAAAGGCCUGUGGGAGACUCCCCAAACAUAUGGAAGAAGGUGGUCAGAUGAGAUUAAAAUUGACCUUUUUGGCCAUCAAGAAAAAUGCUGUCUGGCGCAAACCCAACACCUCACAUCACACCGAGAACACCAUCCCCACAGUGAAGCAUGGUAGUGGCAGCAUCAUCUGUUGGGGUGUUUUUCAUCAGCAGGGAAACUGGUCAGAAUUGAAGGAAUGAUGAAUGGUGCUAAAUACAGGGAAAUUCUUGAGGGAAACCUGUUCCAGUCUUCCAGAGAUUUGAGACUGGGACAGAGGUUCACCUUCCAGCAGGACAAUGACCAUAAGCAUACUGCUAAAGCAACACUCGAGUGGUUUAAAGGGAAACAUUUAAAUGUCUUGGUAUGGCCUAGUCAAAGUCCAGACCUCAAUCCAAUUGAGAAUCUGUAGAACCCACCAGCAGAACCCAUCCAACUUGAAGGAGCUGGAUCAGUUUUGCCUUGAAGAAUGGACAAAAAUCCCAGUGGCUGGAUGUGCCAAGCUUAAAGAGACAAACCCCAAGAGACUUGCAGCUGUAAUUGCUGUAGAAGGUGGCUCUACAAUGUAUUGACUUUUUUUUUGGGGGGGG
This is a long non-coding RNA of Oncorhynchus keta (chum salmon), 2938 nucleotides long. RefSeq lists it as uncharacterized. The record is from RefSeq and is a predicted model, not a curated record. NCBI's taxonomy places the organism in Eukaryota, Metazoa, Chordata, Actinopteri, Salmoniformes, Salmonidae. The transcript is spliced from 3 exons.